UACGUAGGGUGCGAGCGUUGUCCGGAAUUAUUGGGCGUAAAGGGCUCGUAGGCGGUUUGUCGCGUCGGGAGUGAAAUCCACUGGCUUAACUGGUGGCUUGCUUUCGAUACGGGCAGACUGGAGGUAUGCAGGGGAGAACGGAAUUCCUGGUGUAGCGGUGAAAUGCGCAGAUAUCAGGAGGAACACCGGUGGCGAAGGCGGCUUCCUGGACCGAUUACUGACGCUGAGGCGCGAAAGCUAGGGGAGCAAACGGG
This 254-nucleotide ribosomal RNA is filed under the name uncultured bacterium. RNAcentral describes it as "partial 16S ribosomal RNA". It matches the Rfam family "Bacterial small subunit ribosomal RNA", at positions 524 to 776 of the family's 1533-position model. The record is from RNAcentral.